Molecule: unclassified non-coding RNA, 1726 nt
Filed under: Hevea brasiliensis (rubber tree)
Lineage: Eukaryota; Viridiplantae; Streptophyta; Magnoliopsida; Malpighiales; Euphorbiaceae
Source: RNAcentral
GUAGAUGGCCCAUCAGAUGUUUGUUUAUGCAUCUCAUGGGGGGCAGAGUUCUACAAGAAAUGGUGGCCGCAAACCACAAUUCCAACAUUUAAGAUCGCAGCCUCCGAGUGCGUGCAGAAGGUCAGAGAGGGUGAACAAAUAUGUCUAGUAAGUUAGGAUGAAGCUUUCAUGGCCAUUGUCAGCAAGGGAGGCACUUGUACAUUUCUUUGUAUUUGAGUACAUUCAAGAUGGUCUGAUAGUAGUGCUUCUAAAUUCGAUCUCUGAUGUAGAUACCGUUGAUAGAAGCACUCAUGGGUACUCGAAAGACGGAAUACCACUCCCGCAGGAUGUAGUACGAAUUGACGUGGUGGGAGGUUUUGCUAUCCAGAAAGUUACUGAUAAUCGUAGCUACUUCAGGACUAUAGCAAAUAUGGAUAUCAAACUGGACUUUGUUCCUCCUUCAUUCAUAAAUUUCAUUUCACGGCAGCUCGUAGGUGCUGGCUUCAAGCUUUAUAAAAAGGAAGUAGCUUCGGUUGCCAAAGGUGACGAAGAUUUCAGCAAUGCUCUAAAAGAUCCACUAUAUGAUCGGAUACGAAAAGCACUUUAUUCAGAUAGUUUACCUGAUGACAAUGGGGCAUUAGAAUUACAAGACCUCAAGGAAGAAACACAUGCUAGUCUCGAUGAAGGGGCAAGAGAUAGCAAUGGGGCUUCGGGACUGCAAAAGGACUUCAAGAAAGAUGCAUGUCUCGGAGUUGAUGAACGGACAGGAGAUGGAAAUGGUGCUUUAGAGCUACAAGACUCGAUAAAAGACGCCCAUGUUCAUCCAGAUCACGUAACAAGAAAGAAUGUUGAAGAUAAAAAAGGUCAUAGUGAAAUUGAGGAAAUUAAUGAAGACACAAGUGAAAUGAUUGAAAGUUUAGAUGAGAAUGACGAGAAAGUCAGGGAUUCUCCAGAUAAUCGACUUGUAGAUGUGCCUGCCAACAACAAGAUGGUCGUGAUUAGAUCUGAGGUUCGACAAGCUCUGGGAACUUUGGAGAAGGCUAUUUCUAUCAUAAGGGAUUUUGGAUAUAAUUUGGAAAUUAGAUCUGUUUCCGGAAACACUACUGUUAAGUCUUUAGGUGUAGCAGAGGAUGGACGGAAAGACUCAAAAUCAUCAGAAACUGAUCAAAUUCAUGGAACUCGCAUAGCUUGCGCUGAAUCACCCGGAAAAGAAUUAUCAGAGGCGACACGUUACGAACACAGGAACAGCUCCGCUAGUCAUGGUUCCAGGCGUAUAAGUUCUAGUUUGUGCACGAGGGAAGCUAACCACAACACGAAGAUUGCUCCUGCAUCACCGGAUGAUUAUGUUGAAAUAAUCUUAGGCGAGACACAACACGUUGCUGUACAUGUAGACCAAAUGAAGGAAGAAAAUGUCGCGUCUAUCCAUGGAAAAAAGAAUGGUAUAAGAAAACGAAAACAAAAACGAAAACUACCAUUUUACUGCUGCUUGAAUUUCAAACCAGGACAAGUCAAGAGUUAAAAAGAGCAUUUUUGUUCACAGGAGAAUGCAGCUAUAGUUUACUUGUUACUACAGAUGUAAAAUUCUUAUGUAAUUUAAGGGUUAAUACCAGAGUGUGUGUUCUGUGUACCUGUGUUGCUCGAACCUUCCAAAGAUGUUGUAGCAUCUGCGUCAGAUCCUUCAAAAUUUGCAUAUCUUUUGUAGGAUUAGACAUAUUUUUUUCGUAAGAGUCCGAGCAAUAUAGUUUUG